GAGAGAGAGAGAGAGAUGCCCUGAUGUGGGGCUGGGUGGUGCAUCGACAUGGUCGGGACGUAGAAGGGGGUGCGUGGCUAAAUAAGUUUGGGAACCGCUGUUCUGGAGAAUCAACCUGACCUUAAAUCACUGCAUAAUGAAUUGUACGGCAUGCUACCCAGUUGUCUAAUUCAAAUUGCAUGGAAUCCUGAUCCCUAAAGUCUGUAUUUGUUUAUUGAAGCAGCGUACAGAAGCUCGAAUGAGGAGAGGGCGAACCCCGGCAUGUGUAUUUAAUUGCUUUGUUUUACAUCCACGUCCGGCCUCUCCCAGGGUGAUGUGUUGUUAAAAACCAUGAGGCCCUUUUCCCACUCUCUGCUCUCUUGUUAACAGUAAUUGCACUUGUUGGUGAGCUGACAGAAAGAAAAUAGAAAUGGAAACAAAUUACCAGCAUCAUUCCAAGUUCCAUGUUUGCAUCCAGCUUUUCCUCCUCCUUUCUUUUUCUUUGAAAGGAAGUUUUUUUUUUUUUUUUUUUUUUGGAUACUCAAGGAAGUCUGCAUAGCUUUGGUUAAAUGUAGCAGAAUUAAAGUUUGGUUGUGAAGUCAUUGUAUAUAAAGUGUUCACUCAGACGGACUUAAAAAGGAGAUGAAUAAUUCACAGAACCUGGCAGCGUGUGCACAUGCAGGGGCUCUGAUUCGGAGGGAAGGUAAUGCAGGAGGAACUCCCAGUAGAUCUGAAUGUGCAGGUGUUCCUCGCAGUCAAAUGCCACCUCCUUUACUCAGUCACAUCCGUUCCUUCUUUUUCUUAUCAGACAGGUUGCUGUCUCCCGACUUUCUGUUGCUGUCACACACACGCUCAGAAAGUCUAGCUGGGGCCAUCUCUGAGCUUUCAGAGGAGAAAAGAUCAUUACUGUUGCAGACGGCAGCCAUUUUAUGAAUUUGUACACUAUCACAGUCUGCCUUUCCCCUUCUUUGUCACACUUAGACUGCCUCAACUCACAGAGGAGCUGCUCCCACAAAUGUCUGUUUGACUACUGAUCCUGUCGCGUAUAAAGUUCUGCAGCUCUGAGCUUUUUCCUGACAGCCUGGGUUGAAGAAUUAAGCGAAAAGAUUGGCUUUAUCUUGUUGGGGAACUCGCGUGAUUUCCAUAAAGUGUGAGGUGAAGCGUUUCCUGCCUUUUGAGGUACUUAUUUAGAUCUAAGAAUAAAAGAUUUUCAGUAGGGAUGUUGGAUGUUAUCAGUCUAACCGUUGGAGACAAAUUUAACAUGAACCUUUGUCCGAUUACCAACUUAAUUUGAAAUAGUUGUAAUUUUGCACAUAUGUUUAAAGCUUAAAGGAGACAUAACAUGAAAAACCCACUUUUUUAUCCAUUAACACAGUGUGUUUCACAUUUUAAGUGUCUAAGUGAGCAAAAAGGCUUAUAUUAUUCACUGGAGUUGCUAUUUAGAUAUUUAAUAAUUAAGUUUUGGGCAUAUUUGUCCACCCGUUCAGUUUUCACAUUAUCUAUUACAUCUAUUUCGUCAGGAUAACUACCAAAUAUGGUAAUGGCCCUCGGCUAAACACAGAGCCAAUCCGCCAUUUUUUCUUCUCGCUAAGAUUUUUUGUAGUCCUAUUGGAAAAAUGCAGAAUGUCUGGUUAUUUUAGCCACACACAGCUCAAAACUGUUCCUCGUUUUAAGGAAGGGUGGUGUGGCAGUAUUUAAACCCAGGAGCUGAUGACACUACUGCUAAAACAACACAGAAGAAAAAGUAGUGUUUGUGUGUGUGUGUGUGUGUGUGUGUGUGUGUGUGUGUGUGUGUGUGUGUGUGUGUGUGUGUGUGUGUGUGCGCGUGCGCGCGUGGUUCGUUUGUUCUGUCUCCAGGCUAGUGGCUAAGUACUGAGGGCUUCAUCUAUCUAAAAGGAGUCAUUUCCAUCUGAAUGUGGCAGCACCGGGACACAGCAGCAGAGCGAGUCCACAUCCAGAAGACUGGAGCCGUGUUUCACUGACAGGCUGUCAGACUAACGCCCUGAUGAGCUCAGCUGGGACAAACUGGUCUGGAACACAGAACGCUCAGAUGUUGAAGCUCACGUGACCUACUGAGGACGGAGACCCACCAGUAAAGAGAUGGUAGCUGGACCAGACCAAAAAUAUGACGAUGACAUCAUGGAACUGGUCAUUGGAAAAGUUUUCCCUGAACCAACUCCGUUUCUAGAUGAGGUAGAGAAGAUCUGCAUCUCAUCAACUCUCUGAUCUCAGUAUUCAGACAACGGAGGUCUCCCACUGUUAUCCAGGACCAGUUUGAAGCCCACAUACUUCCCCUCCCUCAUCAUCAGGAAACAUCAAUCCGUAUCCUGAGGACAACAGAAGACGGCAGGAGGACAGGAACUCUGAGACCUAGACACCACCAGCACCGGGACACAAAGCACCUGUGUGCACAACGCCUGUUUAACUACUAAAACCUGUUUAUUAUAUUGUUCUACUUAUUUGCUGUGAGGUUAAUACUUAGAAAAUUUGUAUAUUAAUGUAAACAAUUUAAAAAAAUCACUGAUUGUAUGUUUUCUUUUAGAUGUAAUGGUCCAAACUCCGCCUUGUAGACAUUUAUUGCAUCCUGUAGGUAAAUACACAGAACAGGCUCAGAUCCAGGAUGACCCAGCAUGCUCUUCUUCCAUUCUGGCUGUUAGGGAUUGUAUCAAUAACUCAAUGCCUACUGAUGUUUUCACCUAACGGUAUUUAUUUAGAAUGCAGGUAAGAUUUAACUAUAUUUGUUAGCAAAGAAGACUGAUCUUGGGAAUUUCACUGCAGCACUGAUGUCCACCUCUCUGUACACAUUAGAGAGAAUUACCACUUUACAGCUAAACACAUUUAAUAAAGAUAUAGGCUACGCAUUGCAGACAAUAAAAACAAAGUUGUAAGCAUUAGAAUUAUAAUCACAUUAAAGAACAUUUGGAGGAAUGUUCUUUAUUUUUGACUAGAAUCUCAAAUCUUUAAAUUAAAAUGUAACUGCUUUUUAUCCAUUUUCAGCCAUUAAGACACCCAAUAUUAAAUAAGACUACUUAUAAAAUUAUUUAUAAUUAUAUGUAUGUAUAUAUAUAUAUAGAGAGAGAGAGAUCUUAAUAAAAUAUAUUUUUAAUGGUGUUUUAAUGAGCUGUAUCAUUUUUUAAAACAUUUUUAUAGAAAUAAAUAAGCAAGCAGCAUUCCUUGUGUGUGUGCGCGUGCCUGCUCGCUUGUCCCGUCGGCCGUGACGGAUGUGUGUGUGUGUGUGUGCGCGCACGUGCCUGCUCACUUGUCCCUCCGUCGGCCGUGACGGGUGUGUGUGUGUGCGCGCGUGCACGUGCCUGCUCACUUUUCCCUCCGUCGGCCGUGACGGGUGUGUGUGAGUGACUACAAAUGCAUGAGAGAGUUAGCAGCCUUGAAACAGCUUGAUUAACUACUCUCCCCACAUGUUUUAAAAAUGCUAAUAUGCUAUGCUAAAUCUGCUAUGCUAAAUAAUGAUUUCUCUAUAGAACUACAAAGUCCGGCUGGGGGAGGAGAGUACAGGUCUGCACUAUGGAGGGGGGCGGAGUUUACAGCUCCUCCUCCAGUUUAAAGAGACAGUACCCAAAAACGGCUCGUUUUCAAGACUCUCCUCAGAACAGGGGUAGAUGAGGGUCUGUAGAGCAACAAUAAUGAGGAAAUCAGACCAAAGAACUGCAGUUCCACUGUUUUUAGACCCCCAACUGAAGGAUUUAGAUGUAAAAAGGAAUAACUUAAAAGCAUGUUAUGUCUCCUUUAAGGAUGCAUGAUAGGAGAAAUGUUAUGUUAGCAACCUAUAAUGAAUUAGCUUUUCUUUUUUUAUAAGGGGGUAGCCCCUUCAUGGGCUGCAUGGUGGUGCAGUGGUUAGCUCUGUUGCCUCGCAGCACGAAGGUUGCAGGUUCGAAACUCGGCUGCGGCCUUUCUGCGUGGAGUUGCGUGUUCUCCCCAUGCAUGCGUGGGUUUCCUCCGGGUACUCCGGUUUCCCCCACAGAUCACAACAUGCCCUACAGGUUAUAAAUUGUAAGUCGCUUUGGAUAAAAGCGUCUGCUAAAUACAUAAACAUAAACAUGUAUUGAAAUUGAUUUAUAUCAGUAUCGAAAUUUAAGAGUAAAACAGUAUUGGAUAUUGUUAAAACGUGCCAAUAUCAAGCAUCCCUAAUUUUCAGCAUAAACAAGCCAUGAAUUGUUGCUUUGUUUUUUAUUUAGUCAAAAGCCUUUUCAAGCAUUUUAUAGAAGUAGAUUCAUUUCUUCACUAAAGAAAAAAAAACUGUCCGGUUUUUACACUAGAGUACCCAACAUUUUUUCUCACAGCCGCUAUAAUCUGUAGAAAUUUAUUUGAAAAUUUGCCAAAUUCUAUAUCUUUACCAUGAAAUCUUUUUCAUAAUUAAAAAAAUUGCCUAAAAUCAUCAUCUAUAUGUUCACAUUAAUAAAAAUUCAACCAUCCCAAAGAAACAUAUUCAGAUUUGAAUGACAAAGUACAAUUGAAGCAAAAAUGCAGCAAAUAAAAUGUUUCAGUUGUAACGUCCAAAAGGGUCAGUUUUCACCUAUAUAUUGACCAACAUCAUGACCUUUCAUCUACAGCAGCGGUUCCCAAACUUAUUUAGCUGCGCACCCCCUUGUAUGUCCCGACCAUGUCGACGCACCCCCCAGCCCCCACA
Nothobranchius furzeri (turquoise killifish) is the source of this 4624-nucleotide non-coding RNA. NCBI's taxonomy places the organism in Eukaryota, Metazoa, Chordata, Actinopteri, Cyprinodontiformes, Nothobranchiidae. The record is from RefSeq and is a predicted model, not a curated record.